This 237-nucleotide ribosomal RNA is filed under the name uncultured bacterium. Its description in RNAcentral is "partial 16S ribosomal RNA". It matches the Rfam family "Bacterial small subunit ribosomal RNA", at positions 118 to 347 of the family's 1533-position model. The record is from RNAcentral.
UGAGCAAUCUGCCCUUCUCUUUGGAAUAAGCGUUGGAAACGACGUCUAAUGCCGAAUACGACCUCCUUUCGCAUGAUCGGAGGUGGAGAGCUCCGGCGGAGAAGGAUGAGCUCGCGGCCUAUCAGCUAGUUGGUGUGGGUAAUGGCCCACAAGGCGACGACGGGUAGCCGGCCUGGAGAGGGUGACCCGGCCACACGUGGGACUGAGACACCGGCCCAGACCUCCGUACGGGAGCAG